Molecule: transfer RNA, 84 nt
Filed under: Felis catus (domestic cat)
Lineage: Eukaryota; Metazoa; Chordata; Mammalia; Carnivora; Felidae
Rfam family: tRNA
About the family: Transfer RNA (tRNA) molecules are approximately 80 nucleotides in length. Their secondary structure includes four short double-helical elements and three loops (D, anti-codon, and T loops).
Source: Rfam by way of RNAcentral
GCCUGGGUGGCUCAGUCGGUUGAGCUUCUGACUUGUGCUCAGGUCAUGAUCUAAUGGUUCAUGGGUUCGAGUCCCACUCAGACA